UACAGAGGGUGCAAGCGUUCAUCGGAAUUACUGGGCGUAAAGCGUGCUCAGACGGUUGCGUAAGUCAGAUGUGAAAGCCCCGGGCUCAACCUGGGAAUUGCAUUUGAGACUGCGUAGCUAGGGUGCGGAAGAGGGAAGCGGAAUUUCCGGUGUAGCGGUGAAAUGCGUAGAUAUCGGAAGGAACACCAGUGGCGAAAGCGGCUUCCUGGUCCAGCACCGACGUUCAGGCACGAAAGCGUGGGGAGCAAACAGG
This 253-nucleotide ribosomal RNA is filed under the name uncultured bacterium. RNAcentral describes it as "partial 16S ribosomal RNA". It matches the Rfam family "Bacterial small subunit ribosomal RNA", at positions 524 to 776 of the family's 1533-position model. The record is from RNAcentral.